Molecule: transfer RNA, 78 nt
Filed under: compost metagenome
Description: tRNA-Glu
Rfam family: tRNA
About the family: Transfer RNA (tRNA) molecules are approximately 80 nucleotides in length. Their secondary structure includes four short double-helical elements and three loops (D, anti-codon, and T loops).
Source: RNAcentral
GGAUGUGUCGUCUAAAUGGAAUAGGGCCCCGGAUUUUCACUCCGGCUGAUGCGGGUUCGAGUCCCGUCACAUCCUCCA